GAACGCUUGCGGCGUGCUUAACACAUGCAAGUCGAACGAGAAAGGGGCUUCGGCCCUGAGUAAAGUGGCGCACGGGUGAGUAACGCGUAGGUAAUCUACCCCUGUGUUCGGGACAACAUCGGGAAACUGGUGCCAAUACCGGAUACGUUCCACGGAUUGCGAGAUAAGUGAAGGAAAGAUGGCGACCCUUCGGGGGCUAUUGCACGGGGAUGAGCCUGCGUACCAUUAGCUAGUUGGCAGGGUAAGGGCCUACCAAGGCGACGAUGGUUAGCGGGUCUGAGAGGAUGAUCCGCCACACUGGCACUGGAACACGGGCCAGACUCCUACGGGAGGCAGCAGUGAGGAAUUUUGCACAAUGGGGGAAACCCUGAUGCAGCGACGCCGCGUGAGUGACGAAGGUCUUCGGAUCGUAAAGCUCUGUCAGCAGGGAAGAAAUGUAUCAUGGCUAAUAUCCAUGGUACUUGACGGUACCUGCAAAGGAAGCACCGGCUAACUCCGUGCCAGCAGCCGCGGUAAUACGGAGGGUGCGAGCGUUGUUCGGAUUUACUGGGCGUAAAGGGCGCGUAGGCGGUUUUAUAAGCCAGAUGUGAAAGCCCACGGCUCAACCGUGGAAGUGCAUCUGGAACUGUAAGACUUGAGUACUGGAGGGGAGUGUGGAAUUCCCGGUGUAGAGGUGAAAUUCGUAGAUAUCGGGAGGAAUACCGGUGGCGAAGGCGACACUCUGGACAGAUACUGACGCUGAGGCGCGAAAGCGUGGGGAGCAAACAGGAUUAGAUACCCUGGUAGUCCACAGCUGUAAACGAUGUGCACUAGGUGUGGGGGGUCGUUGACCCUUUCCGUGCCGUAGCUAACGCAAUAAGUGCACCGCCGGGGGAGUACGGUC
RNAcentral lists this ribosomal RNA (883 nucleotides) under uncultured bacterium. RNAcentral's name for it is "bacterial SSU rRNA". It matches the Rfam family "Bacterial small subunit ribosomal RNA", at positions 31 to 887 of the family's 1533-position model. The record is from RNAcentral.